AUGGCUAUAAUUAACAAGACAGGAAACAACAUGUGUUGGAGAGGAUGUGGAGAGAAGGGAACUCUCAUACACGGCUAGUGGCAGUGCAAACUGGUACAGCCACUCUGGAAA
Molecule: non-coding RNA, 111 nt
Organism: Ceratotherium simum simum (southern white rhinoceros)
Lineage: Eukaryota; Metazoa; Chordata; Mammalia; Perissodactyla; Rhinocerotidae
Source: RefSeq, a predicted model, not a curated record